This 72-nucleotide transfer RNA is filed under the name Triplophysa nasobarbatula. RNAcentral's name for it is "tRNA-Asp". It matches the Rfam family "tRNA". Rfam says of the family: Transfer RNA (tRNA) molecules are approximately 80 nucleotides in length. Their secondary structure includes four short double-helical elements and three loops (D, anti-codon, and T loops). The record is from RNAcentral. RNAcentral also lists the same sequence under 4 other names. Lineage: Eukaryota; Metazoa; Chordata; Actinopteri; Cypriniformes; Nemacheilidae.
AAGACAUUAGUAAACUCGAAAUUACAUCAUCUUGUCAAGAUGAAAUCGUAGGUUAAACUCCUGCAUGCCUUA